GAUAAAACCACUUUUUCACCUUUUAUCUUUAAUUUUUAACUCUUCGUCCUAUUUAAAAGUUUUUUGCGAUUGAUAUUUUUGUUUUUAUUAGAUGAUAAAUCAUGAAUAGUACUUUACGUGUAACUAAUUUUUUUCUAAUUUUCUAAAAGUUUUUCAAAUAAGAUGAAUGGUCAAAUGUUGGAUAGGAAAAGCGAAG
Molecule: microRNA precursor, 196 nt
Filed under: Oryza brachyantha (malo sina)
Lineage: Eukaryota; Viridiplantae; Streptophyta; Magnoliopsida; Poales; Poaceae
Description: MIR812 microRNA precursor family
Rfam family: MIR812 microRNA precursor family
Source: Rfam by way of RNAcentral